GCAGCAGUAGGGAAUCUUCCACAAUGGGCGAAAGCCUGAUGCAGCGACGCCGCGUGCGGGACGAAGGCCUUCGGGUUGUAAACCGCUUUCAGCAGGGACGAGGCGAAAGUGACGGUACCUGCAGAAGAAGCCCCGGCUAACUACGUGCCAGCAGCCGCGGUAAUACGUAGGGGGCAAGCGUUAUCCGGAUUCAUUGGGCGUAAAGCGCUCGUAGGCGGUCUGUUAGGUCGGGAGUUAAAUCCGGAGGCUCAACCUCCGCCCGCUCCCGAUACCGGCAGACUUGAGUUUGGUAGGGGAAGGUGGAAUUCCUAGUGUAGCGGUGGAAUGCGCAGAUAUUAGGAAGAACACCAGUGGCGAAGGCGGCCUUCUGGGCCAUAACUGACGCUGAGGAGCGAAAGCUAGGGGAGCAAACAGGAUUAGAUACCCUGGUAGUCCUAGCUGUAAACGAUGGACACUAGGUGUGGGAGAAUACGUCUUCCGUGCCGCAGCUAACGCAUUAAGUGUCCCGCCUGGGGAGUACGGCCGCAAGGCUAAAACUCAAAGGAAUUGACGGGGCCCGCACAAGCAGCGGAGCAUGUGGUUUAAUUCGAAGCAACGCGAAGAACCUUACCAGGGCUUGACAUGUAGGUGAAGCGGCGGAAACGUCGUGGCCGAAAGGAGCCUACACAGGUGGUGCAUGGCUGUCGUCAGCUCGUGUCGUGAGAU
Molecule: ribosomal RNA, 705 nt
Filed under: uncultured Lactobacillus sp.
Lineage: Bacteria; Bacillati; Bacillota; Bacilli; Lactobacillales; Lactobacillaceae
Description: bacterial SSU rRNA
Rfam family: Bacterial small subunit ribosomal RNA
Source: RNAcentral